GGCGGUGGGAGGCGGGGGCGUGGAGCGGAGUUGGGGGUGGAGGGCGGUGGAAUCCUGCCUGCCUAGCAUCCUUCGCUAACUCGCAGGUUGAGACCAGCAGGUGCCCAAGGGCCAUCCUCUGGGUGUAGAGGAUAUAGGCUCAUUUCAGAACCCUCACGCCUUGUUAGAGCUCUGUCACACGGGCCAGAAACAGGGAACUGGGGUGGAGACUCCUGCAGAACUACUACCCCACACAUUCUCUCCUCACCCUCGUCUGUGCGAGGGGCUGAUUGCACCUAAGGCGAGACGUGACAGGAUCCUCCGGAAUCUUGCUACCGGUGGAGACUUGGAAUUGGACUGGAGCCCAAUGACCAGUAGCAGAACCUGAGAACACGCGCAGGUGAAAGCUCAGAGCGCUCUCACGGCGACACCUGCUGGGUGCGGCAGGUGGUGCAUUCUGGCCUUUUGUCUUUCUGAUCAGAGACACGCAGCCCAAGUUUCAGUUGGAGAAACUGAGGAGGUGAAGUCAAACUCAAAGUCACUAACAGGUGAAUAGCCAGAUUGGAACAAGGUAGCCCCAACUCUAGUGACCCCUACUCUUCUCUCCACUCCAGGCCUGCUUAGCCUUCCAGACUGCAGUUCUUCAUGCAUACCUUCAUGUACAGCCGCUGUUCACGCAUGCGUCCACGGGCUACUGGCGCCAGCCAUGCUGACAACCGUGGAUUCAAGGAACACGGGAGACCUUGGUCUGGGUACAGCCUGGGGGGGGGGCGCUUUCAGAAUAUGGCCACUACAUUGUUCAACCAAUCUCCAUUGCAAGGAGUUCUCUGUGCGCGCCUUCCUUGCCUCUGGGCAAGCCUGUGAUAGCUUCCUCAUUGACAGGUGCAGAUGAUGGUAAAUGGAUACGUACAGGAGCCCUGUCCAGUAAGCACAUGCAUAGCUUCAGAUGGCACCGGCUGGUGAGAAGGUCACAGGACCGGGGACCGGGCAAUGGGAAAGAGGGUUCUGUGCACUAAAAUGUUUGUUUUAGCUCUGAGGAAGUGGCUGGGCUGUCCGCAGCAGAUCACAGGAUUUGGGCCCAUUAUGGUAGAAGCUAGGAGUGGGUGAAGGAGGAGCAAGGAUGAAGAGAAAGAAAGCCAGUGAUGUGGAGGGAAGAGAGGGGGACUGUAUUCCUAGAAGAGUUUGGAGUCCAAUGGAGACCCUGGAGAAUAAAGCAGGUAAC
Molecule: long non-coding RNA, 1201 nt
Filed under: Mus musculus (house mouse)
Lineage: Eukaryota; Metazoa; Chordata; Mammalia; Rodentia; Muridae
Description: long non-coding RNA chr6:91411512-91412713
Source: RNAcentral